This 497-nucleotide ribosomal RNA is filed under the name uncultured bacterium. RNAcentral's name for it is "partial 16S ribosomal RNA". It matches the Rfam family "Bacterial small subunit ribosomal RNA", at positions 28 to 507 of the family's 1533-position model. The record is from RNAcentral.
GAUGAACGCUGGCGGCGUGCCUAAUACAUGCAAGUCGAGCGAACAGACGAGGAGCUUGCUCCUCUGACGUUAGCGGCGGACGGGUGAGUAACACGUGGAUAACCUACCUAUAAGACUGGGAUAACUUCGGGAAACCGGAGCUAAUACCGGAUAAUAUAUUGAACCGCAUUGUUCAAUAGUUAAAGACGGUGUUGCUGUCACUUAUAGAUGGAUCCGCGCCGCAUUAGCUAGUUGGUAAGGUAACGGCUUACCAAGGCGACCAUGCGUAGCCGACGUGAGAGGGCAAGCGGCCACACUGGAACUGCGACAGUGUCCAGACUACAACGGGAGUGAGAAGUAGGGAAUCUUCCGCAAUGGGCGAGAGCCUGGCGGAGCACCGCCGGGUGAGUGAUGAAGGUCUUCGGAUCGUAAAACUCUUUUAUUAGGGAAAAACAAAUGUGUAAGUAACUAUGCACGGCUUGACGGUACCUAAUCAGAAAGCCAGGGCUAACUACGGG